UACGUAGGGUGCAAGCGUUAAUCGGAAUUACUGGGCGUAAAGCGUGCGCAGGCGGUGAUGCAAGACAGAUGUGAAAUCCCCGGGCUUAACCUGGGAACUGCAUUUGUGACUGCAUUGCUGGAGUGCGGCAGAGGGGGAUGGAAUUCCGCGUGUAGCAGUGAAAUGCGUAGAUAUGCGGAGGAACACCGAUGGCGAAGGCAAUCCCCUGGGCCUGCACUGACGCUCAUGCACGAAAGCGUGGGGAGCAAACAGG
Molecule: ribosomal RNA, 253 nt
Filed under: uncultured bacterium
Lineage: Bacteria
Description: partial 16S ribosomal RNA
Rfam family: Bacterial small subunit ribosomal RNA
Source: RNAcentral